Molecule: ribosomal RNA, 528 nt
Filed under: Salmonella enterica
Lineage: Bacteria; Pseudomonadati; Pseudomonadota; Gammaproteobacteria; Enterobacterales; Enterobacteriaceae
Also listed under: 1 other name
Description: partial 23S ribosomal RNA
Rfam family: Bacterial large subunit ribosomal RNA
Source: RNAcentral
GGGUUGUGAGGUUAAGCGACCAAGCGUACACGGUGGAUGCCCUGGCAGUCAGAGGCGAUGAAGGACGUGCUAAUCUGCGAAAAGCGCCGGUAAGGUGAUAUGAACCGUUAUAACCGGCGAUGUCCGAAUGGGGAAACCCAGUGUGACUCGUCACACUAUCAUUAACUGAAUCCAUAGGUUAAUGAGGCGAACCGGGGGAACUGAAACAUCUAAGUACCCCGAGGAAAAGAAAUCAACCGAGAUUCCCCCAGUAGCGGCGAGCGAACGGGGAGGAGCCCAGAGCCUGAAUCAGCAUGUGUGUUAGUGGAAGCGUCUGGAAAGGCGCGCGAUACAGGGUGACAGCCCCGUACACAAAAGCGCAUGUGCUGUGAGCUCGAUGAGUAGGGCGGGACACGUGGUAUCCUGUCUGAAUAUGGGGGGACCAUCCUCCAAGGCUAAAUACUCCUGACUGACCGAUAGUGAACCAGUACCGUGAGGGAAAGGCGAAAAGAACCCCGGCGAGGGGAGUGAAACAGAACCUGAAACCGU